UGAUUUUUAUUUUUAUUCAUUUAAAACAUAGAGUGUUGCCCUUAAGUGAGGAAAAGAUCCCAAAGUGGACAAAACAAAAGAUCCCAAAGAGGACAAAUUAGAGAUAAAAAGAAAGAGACAAAGAGGCCACAAAAAAAUAAAAAAUAAAGAGAAAAGAAAAAGAAAAUAAAAAGAGAGAAGGGGCCAACACUACUAUCCCUUUUGAAAGAUCCACACUCGUACUCCAUUAAUAUAUUGGUACUACAUAGAGAUUAUCAUUCAUGCAUAACUAUGUGGAGACCUUACACUAUAGAACUUGGUUUGCAUAUUCCAAUGAUGAGCCUCCUGAAAUGAGCUCUAUGUCUUCAUGAGCAAACAAGUUGGAUGCACCCCUGCUAGUUCCAUUGGAGAGCUUACCUUAGCUCAUAUGUGCAUCUGUUACAUGGCAAUCCCUACUCCUCACAUCAUAUCUAUCAUUUGGCUUUCUCUCACCUAUGAUUGUCCUCAUUGAUGUGAGCCUUUCACACCUUUUUGUCUUCCUUCCCCAUCAUUAUUCUAUUUGCCAUCCUAACUGCCAACAUAUCUUGCUUACGUCAUCCAUUGCAUGAGUGCUCAAAGUCGAAUGGGAGGGGAUCAUCUUUAUUUGUGCCUGACUAGUGGUCUGGGGAUGAGUCAAAAUAAGAUUCCGAAGGAGACCAAGUGUGAAAUAUUAGUAGAUUGAGUUCUCAAUUAAAAAAAUAUUCGAUGAUCUCAACCCAUCUCCCACUUCUUGCACACAAACACCAUUUGGAGACAUUCGAGUCACGG
This 786-nucleotide long non-coding RNA is filed under the name Hordeum vulgare. Its description in RNAcentral is "long non-coding RNA (HVUL_LNC009240)". Lineage: Eukaryota; Viridiplantae; Streptophyta; Magnoliopsida; Poales; Poaceae. The record is from RNAcentral.